This 429-nucleotide ribosomal RNA is filed under the name Gemmatimonadota bacterium. Its description in RNAcentral is "Gemmatimonadetes bacterium partial 16S ribosomal RNA". It matches the Rfam family "Bacterial small subunit ribosomal RNA", at positions 355 to 776 of the family's 1533-position model. Lineage: Bacteria; Pseudomonadati; Gemmatimonadota. The record is from RNAcentral.
UAGGGAAUCUUCGGCAAUGGACGAAAGUCUGACCGAGCAACGCCGCGUGAGUGAAGAAGGUUUUCGGAUCGUAAAACUCUGUUGUUAGAGAAGAACAAGGACGUUAGUAACUGAACGUCCCCUGACGGUAUCUAACCAGAAAGCCACGGCUAACUACGUGCCAGCAGCCGCGGUAAUACGUAGGUGGCAAGCGUUGUCCGGAUUUAUUGGGCGUAAAGCGAGCGCAGGCGGUUUCUUAAGUCUGAUGUGAAAGCCCCCGGCUCAACCGGGGAGGGUCAUUGGAAACUGGGGGACUUGAGUGCAGAAGAGGAGAGUGGAAUUCCAUGUGUAGCGGUAAAAUGCGUAGAUAUAUGGAGGAACACCAGUGGCGAAGGCGGCUCUCUGGUCUGUAACUGACGCUGGGGCUCGAAAGCGUGGGGAGCAAACAGG